GGGGAAUGUGUGGAAAGGAGUAAGAAAAGAUUUUUUGUAGAAGCUGGUCAAUGGCACAUCUGAGUAUGGAAUCUCUUGCACCAUGCACCAGAAUGACACAAAUGCAAGAACCUAUGGAAAGGGAGAAACACACUGUGGUGUCAUCACUCACCCUGUCGCAGCUCUUCACCCAUUCUGAAGACAUUUGCACCACUUCUUCAC
Molecule: long non-coding RNA, 201 nt
Organism: Alligator sinensis (Chinese alligator)
Lineage: Eukaryota; Metazoa; Chordata; Crocodylia; Alligatoridae
Exons: 3
Source: RefSeq, a predicted model, not a curated record